Long non-coding RNA from Aethalodelphis obliquidens (Pacific white-sided dolphin), 1365 nucleotides. RefSeq lists it as uncharacterized. The record is from RefSeq and is a predicted model, not a curated record. Lineage: Eukaryota; Metazoa; Chordata; Mammalia; Artiodactyla; Delphinidae. The transcript is spliced from 2 exons.
GGUGAGGGCCAGUGGCCGGGACACUGAGAGUCAUCAUGGAAGGAGCUUUGGGCUCCAGUCAGAACCCUGGAUUCUCUUGCUGGCUUGGCACUUUCUAGCGUGGGCCUCAGUUCUCCCACGGAUAAAAUGGGAUGGUGCCUGCCCUGCCUCCCUCCCACAGUGUGCCUGAGGCCCCGCAGAAGCCAUGGUCAUGCAGGUGUCUCUAGAGCCCCUCAUGCGGAGGCGUGGAAGAUGCUACUGAUGGGAGGAUUCAGCAUUCAUCCCUGGACGAUUCAUCCCUGUCCACAGGGCUGCUGGAAUGCUCUGGUGCCCCCACUCACAGGAGAAGCUCUGAGGAGCUGCAGCGCCCCGACAGGCAGGGGACUCCGUGGCCUCAUGUCGUGCCAAGGCUUGGCCAGAAGGGAUAACCCAAUGGAAAAUAUUCAGAGCCCAGUGACCGGCGGGUGGAGGGAAUAAAUAACACCAGAUAGAUCAGGAACUUCAGGUAAAGUCCUUCAGGUAAAUUCACCCACUCUCCAUAACAGCUGAGGUUUUAUUAUCCCACCUCUGUUACAGACGGGGUGAGAACAUUUCUCAUAAAGUUCUUGUGAGGGCUGCAGAAGGCAGGCAUUACCUAGGGCUGGAAUAUAGUGUGAGCGCCGAGGAGACUAGCCCUUGUCAUCAAGGGGGACGUUGUCCUACGGCUCUGCUUGGUUAUCACAUCACCCUGCUUUGACUUUCCCCUUGGCCAGGCUCUGAAGAGCCAUCUCCUGACCUUUCCAGACAGAGGGCUGAGAUCCUUGGGUGGCCCUCACUAUGACCCAGCACUGCUCUCCCCAAAGACAGACCGUGAGAGUCCCCUGCCCCCUGGACUCACUGGGGAGCCCGCCCAGGUAGAGGCACCUGGCUCAGGCAUCCUGCAGUUUCCUCUUUCUGAGAACUUCGACCACAGGCUUGCCCGCCCCAGAGGGAGCUGCUCCCCAGGAAUGGGCCUUUGGGAAGGUUAACCUUUACGGUAAACAGACUCGUGACUUUCUGCUACAAGAAAUGGUGGAGUUUGGGUAAAAUUUCUUUCCUGAAUAUGGUCAUGUUCCUGUUGGUGUUCUAAGGUUAGAACCCAAAUAUGUGGAAAUUUUGGAUGAAUUUUAAUGUGAUUUGUCCGCAAAGACCUAGAUUUUAGAAUAUUCAGCUUCAUACACUUAAACAAAGACUUUUGGCUCUAGUGAGGGUGGAUUGGCCACCCAUUUCUUUAUCAGCCUUAGGAGAGGUUUACAAGCUUCUAGAACUCCUUGAAUUUUACAGCUCUACUAUCUUCCUUCCCUUCCUGCUUCAGCUUCCUGUCCAGCUGGGGACCGCUGAUCUUAGUUUUAUAUCUUCUCUCUCGGU